RNAcentral lists this ribosomal RNA (329 nucleotides) under uncultured eukaryote. RNAcentral's name for it is "partial 18S ribosomal RNA". It matches the Rfam family "Eukaryotic small subunit ribosomal RNA", at positions 1470 to 1796 of the family's 1831-position model. The record is from RNAcentral.
CCCUUAGAUGUUCUGGGCCGCACGCGCGCUACACUGAUACGUUCAGCAAGUUUAGAACCUUGACUGAGAGGUCUGGGUAAUCUUUUGAAUGCGUAUCGUGUUAGGGAUAGAUUAUUGCAAUUAUUAAUCUUGAACGAGGAAUUCCUAGUAAACGCAAGUCAUCAGCUUGCAUUGAUUACGUCCCUGCCCUUUGUACACACCGCCCGUCGCACCAAUUGAUUGGAUGACUCGAUGAAAAAUCAGGACUGAGAUUUCUUUUGCUUCAUUGCAGAGGAAGUUUUGGGAAUCUUUUUAAAUCUCGUUAUCUAGAGAUUGGUGAAGUCGUAACA